CAAACGCGAAAAACCUUACCUACCCCUUGACAUUUCUGGAAUCCUGAAGAGAUUCAGGAGUGCUCGCAAGAGAACCGGAACACAGGUGCUGCAUGGCUGUCGUCAGCUCGUGUCGUGAGAUGUUGGGUUAAGUCCCGCAACGAGCGCAACCCUUGUCAUUAGUUGCUACGAAAGGGCACUCUAAUGAGACUGCCGGUGACAGACCGGAGGAAGGUGGGGAUGACGUCAAGUCCUCAUGGCCCUUAUGGGUAGGGCUUCACACGUCAUACAAUGGCUGGUACAGAGGGUUGCCAACCCGCGAGGGGGAGCUAAUCCCAUAAAGCCAGUCGUAGUCCGGAUCGCAGUCUGCAACUCGACUGCGUGAAGUCGGAAUCGCUAGUAAUCGCGGAUCAGAAUGUCGCGGUGAAUACGUUCCCGGGUCUUGUACACACCGCCCGUCACACCAUGGGAGCGGGUUCUGCCAGAAGUAGGUAGCCUAACCGUAAGGAGGGCGCUAGCACUC
This 502-nucleotide ribosomal RNA is filed under the name uncultured bacterium. RNAcentral's name for it is "bacterial SSU rRNA". It matches the Rfam family "Bacterial small subunit ribosomal RNA", at positions 956 to 1461 of the family's 1533-position model. The record is from RNAcentral.